GGACUACCGGGGUAUCUAAUCCUGUUUGCUCCCCUAGCUUUCGCAGCUUAGUGUCAGUAAUAGUCCAGGUACCUGCUUUCGCCAUUGGUGUUCCUCCCGAUCUCUGCGCAUUUCACCGCUACACCGGGAAUUCCAGUACCCUCUCCUAUACUCAAGCCUGGUAGUUUCUGUUGACCUCUCCCAGUUAAGCCGGGAGCUUACACAACAGACUUACCAAACCACCUACCUGCCCUUUACGCCUAGUAAUUCCGAGUAACGCUUGCCACCUUCGUAUUACCGCGGCUGCUGGCAC
This 292-nucleotide ribosomal RNA is filed under the name uncultured bacterium. RNAcentral's name for it is "partial 16S ribosomal RNA". The record is from RNAcentral.